UGGAAAGAUUAGUGUAUUCGACUAUAUUCACGGCAUGAAACAAGGGAUUACACUGUUUUAAACGGAAAGUGAUUUAAUUAACAUAAUAGACUCCU
Molecule: microRNA precursor, 95 nt
Filed under: Nicotiana sylvestris (wood tobacco)
Lineage: Eukaryota; Viridiplantae; Streptophyta; Magnoliopsida; Solanales; Solanaceae
Also listed under: 1 other name
Description: MIR6152 microRNA precursor family
Rfam family: MIR6152 microRNA precursor family
Source: Rfam by way of RNAcentral